This 294-nucleotide small nuclear RNA is filed under the name Microcebus murinus (gray mouse lemur). RNAcentral describes it as "7SK RNA (ENSMICG00000035062.2)". It matches the Rfam family "7SK RNA", at positions 1 to 289 of the family's 331-position model. Rfam says of the family: 7SK was discovered as an abundant small nuclear RNA in the mid-70s but a possible function has only recently been suggested. Lineage: Eukaryota; Metazoa; Chordata; Mammalia; Primates; Cheirogaleidae. The record is from Rfam by way of RNAcentral.
GGAUGUGAGGGCGAUCUGGCUGCGACAUCUGUCACCCCAUUGAUCGCCAGGUUUGAUUCGGCUGAUCUGGCUGGCUAGGCGGGUGUCCCCUUCCUCCCUCACCGCUCCAUUUGCGUCCCUCCUGAAGCUGCGUGCUCAGUCGAAGAAGAUGACCUUCCCUGCUAAAGGAGGACCGGUCUUCGGGUUCGGUCAAGGGUAUACGAGUAGCUGCGCUCCCCUGCUAGAACCUCCAAACAAGCUCUCAAGAUGUGCAUAUACAAAGAGGCAACGAUGUGGAAAGCCAGGAUAAAGGAC